UUACUCCUACGGGAGGCAGCAGUGGGGAAUAUUGCACAAUGGGCGAAAGCCUGAUGCAGCGACGCCGCGUGAGGGAUGACGGCCUUCGGGUUGUAAACCUCUUUCAGCAGGGAAGAAGCGAAAGUGACGGUACCUGCAGAAGAAGCGCCGGCUAACUACGUGCCAGCAGCCGCGGUAAUACGUAGGGCGCAAGCGUUGUCCGGAAUUAUUGGGCGUAAAGAGCUCGUAGGCGGCUUGUCGCGUCGGUUGUGAAAGCCCGGGGCUUAACCCCGGGUCUGCAGUCGAUACGGGCAGGCUAGAGUUCGGUAGGGGAGAUCGGAAUUCCUGGUGUAGCGGUGAAAUGCGCAGAUAUCAGGAGGAACCACCGGUGGCGAAGGCGGAUCUCUGGGCCGAUACUGACGCUGAGGAGCGAAAGCGUGGGGAGCGAACAGGAUUAGAUACCCUGGUAGUCCACGCCGUAAACGGUGGGCACUAGGUGUGGGCAACAUUCCACGUUGUCCGUGCCGCAGCUAACGCAUUAAGUGCCCCGCCUGGGGAGUACGGCCGCAAGGCUAAAACUCAAAGGAAUUGACGGGGGCCCGCACAAGCGGCGGAGCAUGUGACUGAAUUCGACGCAACGCGAAGAACCUUACCAAGGCUUGACAUACACCGGAAAGCAUCAGAGAUGGGGCCCCCCCCCU
This 680-nucleotide ribosomal RNA is filed under the name Streptomyces sp. RNAcentral's name for it is "bacterial SSU rRNA". It matches the Rfam family "Bacterial small subunit ribosomal RNA", at positions 333 to 1021 of the family's 1533-position model. Lineage: Bacteria; Bacillati; Actinomycetota; Actinomycetes; Kitasatosporales; Streptomycetaceae. The record is from RNAcentral.